Nycticebus coucang (slow loris) is the source of this 4690-nucleotide long non-coding RNA. RefSeq lists it as uncharacterized. NCBI's taxonomy places the organism in Eukaryota, Metazoa, Chordata, Mammalia, Primates, Lorisidae. The transcript has 3 exons. The record is from RefSeq and is a predicted model, not a curated record.
AUCACAGCAGGAAAUAAUGUGGUGCCUAAAAUAGAAGCAUCAACUGGGAGAGAGGCCGGGGAGUAGGUGGCAUUUGAGGCUCCUGGCGCGUCGUCGGAGGCGUGUAGCUGUAACCCGGCCGGAGAGGGCGCGCGAGGCCCGGGCUGCGCUUCUACCGCGAGGGCGGCGGGGCUGUCCGCGGUCCCCCCACUUCCCUCGUCCCCCGCCCCUGCUUCCCUUGCUCACUGUCCCCCUCACCACCCCCUCAACUCCUCCUCCCUGCCCCUCCCUCCCCAAGGGUCCUCACGCCCCUCCUGCCUGUCCCUGCCGUCCCCCCUCAUCUUUCUCCUCCCUCUCCCUCCCUCUCCCUUCCCCUUCACCCCUCCCUGUGUCUCCCACCUGCGGCCUCCCUCACAGCCGCCUACCUUCCCCACUGCCCCCCGCCCCCCACCCCUCUGCUUUCCUCCAUAGCCAGAGCUGCCUGGAGGCCGUUGAUGCCUUCCUAGGCCUCCAACCAAAGGUCAUUCGAGCAGCAGCAGCCCCCAAGAUGGCAAAAUGGAGACAGGAAAAGAUGAACUUGGACGGGCAAGGUGGCUCAAGCCUGUGAUCCUGUAAUCCUGGCACUCUGGGAGGCUGAGCCGUUGCUCUGCUGAAAACAAGCUCUCUCAUUGUUGCCAGUUUCCAAGGCUUUGCAUCCUCAUCGCCUUCUGGAAUGCGAUGGGCAUUCGUUCAUGCUCAAGUGUACUGCCUACACACGUGCGUGUGCCACUUGUUCCCUCCUGCUUCUCCUCUUGUGUUAACCCCUCCUGGGGUUAAUGGCUUAUGAUUUCCUACCAGAAUUGUAGGAAGAGUAUGUGGCUGAUGUGGUGUCACGAAGGCUUUGUUCCCUGGAGGCUGAAUAUUGUUGGGACAAGCGGUAAGGAAUAGUGAGUAGAGGCCACCAUGGACUAAAAGAAAUGUCAGAAAAAUAUAUAGCUAAUAUUCAUUAAUACUUACUAAAUGCAAGGCUUUGUGCUUUUUCGAGGAAUUAUUUUAUUUAAGUGACAUAAUAACCCUAUGACAUUAGUAUCAUUACCAUUUGACAGAAAACUCAAGGUCAUGUAAGGUUUAGAGCUGAGAUUCUGAUGCACUUAACCAGCGUGCUAACUGCAAAGGAGAAUGGGGUGCUGGUUUCUGCAAGAUAUCUUUUUCCCUCCAAGAUGGAAAUAUCUUUAUAAUUUUUGCGAAUUACAAAAGUAAUAGGUGCUUACUGUGAAGAACUUAAACAACAGAAGUGUAUAAGGAAACAUUUGGGAACAUAUUCUUCUUAGCAAAGUAUCCCAAGAAUGGAAGAAAAAGUAUCCAAUGUACUCAGCCCUACUAUGAAACUAAUUUAUAACUUUCAUAUGAAAGCUGUUACCCAAGUACAGCACAAGAAUAUGGGGAAAGGGGAGAGAAAAGGGAGAGGAGGUGGGGAGGAAUGGUGAAGGGAGGGUAAUUGGUGGGACCACACCUAUGGUGCAUUUACAAAGGUACAUGUGAAAUUUACUAAAUGUAGAAUAUAAACGUUUUAACACAAUAACUAAGAGAAUGCUGUGAAGGCUAUGCUAACUAGUUUGAUAAAAAUCUUUCGAAUUGUAUAUAAAACCGGCACAUUGUAUAUGAUUGCAUUAAUGUACACAGCUAUGAUUUAAUACAAUAAAUAAAUAAAUAAAAGAAAAAUCUGGAAGUCUUUUCCUAUCAGCCCCCUCUUCAUGGACUUUAAUACACAUAACUUUUUUUAAAUUAAAACUUAUUUUUUAUUAUAAUUUUUUGUUAAAUCAUAACUUUGUACAUUGAUGCACCAGAAUGUUUAUUGCAGCCCAAUUCAUAAUAGCCAAGACAUGGAAACACAUAACAUUUUAAGCUGCCUGGCAUCGUACCAUCAUAUUCUUCAGUGGAUAUGCUGGCGCAUGUCCGGGCACAUCUGUCAGUUAUUUCCAUAAUUCUAGCAGUGGAAUUAGUGCGUCAGAGGGCAUAAACAUUUACAUUUGGUCACAUGUUGAAAUGGACAAGUUUUUAUUUUAUAAUUUGAGGCAUAACCUACAUGUGCUUUAAUAAGGGAAUAGUUAAGUAAAUCAUGAAAAAAACUGAGAACAUCUCCUUGCUGGAAUAUUAUGAGCGCAUUAAAAAUGAUGGUUAUAAGGACUCUAAUAAUGUGGUGGAAAUGCUUAGAACAUAAAGUCAAAAUGUUAAAAAGUAACAGAAAAUUAAAUGUAUUAUAUGAUCACAAUUGUAUGAAAAGAAAGCAAAAAGAAAUAGUAGCAAAAUGAUAUCAAUGGUAAUGCAAACAUGUUGAGAUAAAUGUGGUCUUUCUUUUUCAUUCUCUAUUGUGGUUUAUUUUUGUAGUAAAAAUUAUAUUUACUUAAAGACCCAGAAAUAGAUGGAAAUUUAUCAAAAGAUUCUGCUUCCUUUUUCCUCUCUGGAUUUGAGUUUCUACGUCUAUAAAAUGAAGCAGUGAGACUAGAAUUAGAUGACUUCUAAGUUAUCCCAGUUCUGAUAGUCUAUGUUUUCUUAUACAAUCAGGUGUUUUUUUCUGCUGUUGAUUCAAAGCUAAAUUUCAGUCUUCACACUAAAAGUAGAUCAGAUUAGAACUUGUUUUGUGGGUGGUGCCUGUGGCUCAAAGGAGUAGGGCGCUGGCCCCAUAUGCCGGAUAUGGUGGGUUCAAACCCAGCCCCAGCCAAAAAAACUAAAAAAAAAAAAAAAAAAAGAACUUGUUUUUUUUGUAGAGACAGAGUCUCACUUUACUGCCCUUGGUAGAGUGCCGUGGCGUCACACGGCUCACAGCAACCUCCAGCUCUUGGGCUUACAUGAUUCUCUUGCCUCAGCCUCCCGAGCAGCUGGGACUACAGGCGCCCGCCACAACGCCCGGCUAUUUUUUUGUUGCAGUUUGGCCAGGGCUGGGCUUGAACCCGCCACCCUCGGCAUAUGGGGCCGGCGCCCUACUCACUGAGCCACAGGCGCCGCCCAAAGAACUUGUUUUGUGACCAUUAUUGGUUUAGGCUGUUCUUACAUCUGUCAAAAUAUCAACAUUAAUUUGAAGAAGAAAGCAAUGUUCCCACUGUGAAGUAGAGGGUCUUAAGGCUUGGAAGUGCUGGGAUGAAAUGUUUAGAGCAGUGACUUCUUCAUUCAUCCCAACUUUGAUGGGCUGUGUCCUAGCUGGACUCCGUCAUUCCCCCUUUUUCAACCAGGAUACUGAUGGUGUGUGAGGCUUUUCCACAGCUGUACAUUGUUCACUCUUCUGCAGUGACAAGGAUUGGAUGGAGAAUGUGUUUCCUCUGGUGGGUGGAGAACUCUGAAGGCAGAGACUGGGUUUUUAUUCCAGUAUCUUAACAGUGAACAAAUGAAUGAACAAGUGACUCAAGUGACUGAGUGUGAGAGUGAAGAAAGCCCAUAACAUGGAAGACCCAGAAGGAUUUCACUGAACCUAUGAAAUAAGUGAAGCUGGAAGUCAGGUGAAACACGUUGUGAGCUCGUUGAUCUGGAGGAGUUACUGUGUGUGUGUGUGCGCGCAUGCACAUGUGCAGGGAAGGGGCAAGACUGGAAGAAUGCCAUUCUGCUGGCACAGCCUUCGUCAGAGCCCUGAAAGGGGCUGAGUGGGUUCUGACUCAGCUCCAUGACUCACUCACUGUGUUGCUGUCUCCAUCCUCCAGGCACAUCCUCUAAACCAUUUCAGUUCAGCCUCAAGUGGAGGAGAUGAGAUCUGGUCCAGCACCUCCGGAUGAGUCACCUGGCUGGGCUGAAAGGAGGGAGCCAAAGCCCCACAGUCCUGCACACACACCUCCCAUCUCCCAGGGGUUGUCAUGCAGACCCAGACCUCAUGAGAAGGUUAUGACUGCUCCAGUAAUGACACCCUCACCCCCCACAAAAGGCAUUACCUGCCCAUCCACACGUCUCUGCUCAAUGUCUUAAUUUCCCUGGUCCUUUCACAUAGUUGUCCCCUGUGCUUCUUGGGGGCAUCUGAGAUCAGCUUAUACAGAGGAUUAUAGGGCUCUCUUAUUCUAUUCUUCACCUCUCACAAAAGUUUUUCAGUUUACAAAAUAGUUUUACAUUCCUUUUCUCAUUUGAUUCUCUCUGAGACCCUAAGAAGCCUGGCAGGGCAGUGAAUAUCACUAUUCUACAGGGAUGGACAUGGAAGGUGGGCCCCUCAGUGCAAGCUCUGGCUCAGGGUGAAAUGAUCUGAGAAGACCCUUGGUUUUUCCCUCGGUCAUGUUCACUCUCUUCUUUCUACUCAAUGCUGGGUUCCCUGGGUCACCACCCAGGAAACGAGGGCACAGCCUUGGCAAGCAACCAGCAAACAGCCUCUCAGGUGAGUUCCUGGAACCUACAGUGGGGUGUGGCUACAGGCUCUGGAAAGGGGACAGGCCACAUGAGCCCUUUUGUCCCUGGAGGGUUGCAGAGGGAAUAGGCUUUCCAGAUAAAAUAUGGGAUGCCCAGUUAAAUUUUAAUUUCAGAUGAACAAUGAAUAAUUUUUAGUUUAAGUAUAUCCCAAAUGUUCUAUGGGACAUAUUUUAAAACUAUCUGAUAUGUAUAUGAAAUUCAAAUCUAGGGUGGCGCCUGUGGCUCAGUCGGUAGCGCACCGGCCCCAUAUACCGAGGGUGGCGGGUUCAAACCUGGCCCCGGCCAAACUGCAACCAAAAAAUAGCCGGGCGUUGUGGCGGGCGCCUGUAGUCCCAGCUACUCGGGAGGCUGA